RNAcentral lists this non-coding RNA (40 nucleotides) under Schistosoma margrebowiei. The record is from RNAcentral. Lineage: Eukaryota; Metazoa; Platyhelminthes; Trematoda; Strigeidida; Schistosomatidae.
AUUCUGACGAGUCCCAAAUAGGACGAAACGUUCGUAAAAU